This is a non-coding RNA of Hypholoma sublateritium FD-334 SS-4, 91 nucleotides long. The record is from the annotation of a GenBank genome assembly. NCBI's taxonomy places the organism in Eukaryota, Fungi, Basidiomycota, Agaricomycetes, Agaricales, Strophariaceae.
GCUGGAAUGGCCGAGUCGUUAAGGCGAGUGAUUUGAAUUUCUCACUAUCACUUGGUGUUUCACCGCGUAGGUUCAAAUCCUGCUUCCAGCG